ACAUAAGUAAGAUGAUCUUUACCUAUUCUUUUUUUGGGGGGAGAGCUUGGGACUAGAUGAUUGGAGUUGCCAAUAAUACAUGAUUAACGUCUCCGUGUAAUCAAGACUUGCACUGCCCUGAUUGCUCCUGUGUUCU
Mustela putorius furo (domestic ferret) is the source of this 136-nucleotide small nucleolar RNA. Its record names the gene U8. It matches the Rfam family "U8 small nucleolar RNA". Rfam says of the family: U8 is a member of the C/D class of snoRNA which contain the C (UGAUGA) and D (CUGA) box motifs. The record is from Ensembl. Lineage: Eukaryota; Metazoa; Chordata; Mammalia; Carnivora; Mustelidae.